This is a long non-coding RNA of Acanthopagrus latus (yellowfin seabream), 644 nucleotides long. RefSeq lists it as uncharacterized. The record is from RefSeq and is a predicted model, not a curated record. Lineage: Eukaryota; Metazoa; Chordata; Actinopteri; Spariformes; Sparidae. The transcript is spliced from 3 exons.
CUCUGUGGUAACACUCAGACCAACCUGUGCACUAGCUCAGUGUGAUUUAUAGUGAAACUUUUGAUCCUCUGAUUAAUUUUAUGUGGAUUUCCUGUGCCUCAGGUCCACUUUUCCUCUGCAGUCCUCAUCAGCCUCCUUCAACCACUCAAUCCAGCAAGCCUCAACGUCUGCCUACCCCACAACCAAUACCCUACUUCAGGACCAAUAUUCUACAAUAAAGUCAAAACUAAACUAUCAACUUCAUGUUGUGUUUACUUCUUUUUGGGUUUGCAACUUUGAAGUUUUUGGCCAUUGUUCCAAAAGGUCCGGUGCACUGCGCAUCUGCUCCAUCCCAGCCCCGGCAGUCCGGAGCCCUCCAGCACAGAUAUGCAGGACUUCUAUUUCUGGCUGAUAGAGAUUACAUGGUUCUGCUGGCUUUUUCAACCUCCAAGAGGCACUGGGACAGUUUGAAGCAAAGUGUGAAGAAGUUAAGAUGAAAGCCGGAACCUCCAAUAUUCAUCAAGGAGUGUUUUUAAACUUUAAUUAGUGUCAAGUCUUGGUGCUAACUUCCAAUCCCUGGAAGUAGUUUUGAGUCUAAUAAUCAUAAUUUUGGUAAUACCAUAAUUUUUCAUUAAUAAACUGAGUGUUCAAUUACAACCUUAAAA